AACGGCCGCGGUAUCCUAACCGUGCGAAGGUAGCGUAAUCACUUGUUCUUUAAAUAAGGACUGGUAUGAAUGGCACCACGAGGGUUACACUGUCUCCUCUUUCUAAUCAGUGAAACUAAUCUCCCCGUGAAGAAGCUGGGAUUUUUUUAUAAGACGAGAAGACCCUAUGGAGCUUUAAACUACUAACACUUGCUGCCAUUCACUCCCCCUUCCAGAAACUUUUUAUUAAGCAUAGCAUCAUGAUUAAUAGUUUUCGAUUGGGGUGAUCGCGGAGUAAAAAACAACCUCCAUGCCGAAAGGGCUUCCUCCCCUGAGCCAAAAGCUACAACUUAAAGCACUAAAAAAUUAACGUUUAUUGACCCAAUAAUUUUGAUCAACGAACCAAGUUACCCUAGGGAUAACAGCGCAAUCCACUUCAAGAGCUCCUAUCGACAAGUGGGUUUACGACCUCGAUGUUGGAUCAGGGAAUCCCAGUGGUGCAGCCGCUACUAACGGUUCGUUUGUUCAACGAUUAAAACCCUACGUGAUCUGAGUUCAGACCGGAGUAAUCCAGGUCAGUUUCUAUCUAUAAAGGGCUUUUUCUAGUACGAAAGGACCGAAAAAGCAUGGCCAAUGACUUAUUAAGCCAUUUUAAUUAUUUAUGACAUCAACUCAAUCAAUAUAAAACCUAAUUCCCCACUCAAGAAAAGAGAAGUUAACGUAGCAUAACCUGGCUUUGCAA
Molecule: ribosomal RNA, 721 nt
Filed under: Boana faber (blacksmith treefrog)
Lineage: Eukaryota; Metazoa; Chordata; Amphibia; Anura; Hylidae
Description: partial 16S ribosomal RNA
Rfam family: Bacterial large subunit ribosomal RNA
Source: RNAcentral